RNAcentral lists this ribosomal RNA (660 nucleotides) under uncultured bacterium. RNAcentral's name for it is "bacterial SSU rRNA". It matches the Rfam family "Bacterial small subunit ribosomal RNA", at positions 94 to 788 of the family's 1533-position model. The record is from RNAcentral.
AGUGGCGGACGGGUGAGUAACGCGUGAGAAUCUGCCUUGGGGUCGGGGACAACCACUGGAAACGGUGGCUAAUACCGGAUAAGCCGAUUGGUGAAAGAUUUAUUGCCCGAAGAGGAGCUCGCGUCUGAUUAGCUAGUUGGUGAGGUAAGAGCUCACCAAGGCAGCGAUCAGUAGCUGGUCUGAGAGGACGAUCAGCCACACUGGGACUGAGACACGGCCCAGACUCCUACGGGAGGCAGCAGUGGGGAAUUUUCCGCAAUGGGCGAAAGCCUGACGGAGCAAGACCGCGUGAGGGAGGAAGGCUCUUGGGUUGUAAACCUCUUUUCUCAGGGAAGAAGCUCUGACGGUACCUGAGGAAUCAGCCUCGGCUAACUCCGUGCCAGCAGCCGCGGUAAUACGGAGGAGGCAAGCGUUAUCCGGAAUUAUUGGGCGUAAAGCGUCCGCAGGUGGCGAUUCAAGUCUGCUGUCAAAGCACGGGGCUUAACUCCGUAAAGGCAGUGGAAACUGAAUAGCUAGAGUGCCGUAGGGGUAGAGGGAAUUCCCGGUGUAGCGGUGAAAUGCGUAUAGAUCGGGAAGAACAUCGGUGGCGAAAGCGCUCUACUGGACGGCAACUGACACUCAGGGACGAAAGCUAGGGGAGCGAAUGGGAUUAGAUACCCC